GGGCCGUAGCUCCGUGGGAGAUCACCUGCUUUGCAUGCAGAAUGUCCCGGGUUCGAUCCCCGGCAUGUCCC
Molecule: non-coding RNA, 71 nt
Organism: Podarcis lilfordi (Lilford's wall lizard)
Lineage: Eukaryota; Metazoa; Chordata; Lepidosauria; Squamata; Lacertidae
Source: the annotation of a GenBank genome assembly